RNAcentral lists this ribosomal RNA (207 nucleotides) under uncultured bacterium. Its description in RNAcentral is "partial 16S ribosomal RNA". It matches the Rfam family "Bacterial small subunit ribosomal RNA", at positions 568 to 774 of the family's 1533-position model. The record is from RNAcentral.
CGUCUAGGCGGGUCGGUCAGUCGGCUGUGAAAGCCCUCGGCUCAACCGAGGAAGUGCAUCCGAUACUGCCGGUCUUGAGGACGAGAGGGGAGAGUGGAACUCCUGGUGGAGCGGUGAAAUGCGUAGAUAUCAGGAGGAACGCCGGUGGCGAAAGCGACUCUCUGGAUCGUUUCUGACGCUGAAGCGCGAAAGCUAGGGGAGCGAACG